Molecule: ribosomal RNA, 301 nt
Filed under: uncultured bacterium
Lineage: Bacteria
Description: partial 16S ribosomal RNA
Rfam family: Bacterial small subunit ribosomal RNA
Source: RNAcentral
CAGUAGCCGCGGUAACACGAAGGGUGCAAGCGUUAAUCGGAAUUACUGGGCGUAAAGCGUGCGUAGGCGGUUUGUUAAGUCUGCUGUGAAAUCCCCGGGCUCAACCUGGGAAUGGCAGUGGAUACUGGCAAGCUAGAGUGUGUCAGAGGAUGGUGGAAUUCCCGGUGUAGCGGUGAAAUGCGUAGAGAUCGGGAGGAACAUCAGUGGCGAAGGCGGCCAUCUGGGACAACACUGACGCUGAAGCACGAAAGCGUGGGGAGCAAACAGGAUUAGAUACCCCCGUAGUCCCUGUCUCUUAACA